UACGGAGGGUGCAAGCGUUGUCCGGAUUUAUUGGGUUUAAAGGGUGCGUAGGCGGCCCUCUAAGUCAGUGGUGAAAUACUGCAGCUUAACUGUAGCAUUGCCAUUGAUACUGGGGGGGCUUGAGUACAGAUGAGGUAGGCGGAAUUGAUGGUGUAGCGGUGAAAUGCAUAGAUACCAUCAAGAACACCGAUUGCGAAGGCAGC
This 203-nucleotide ribosomal RNA is filed under the name uncultured bacterium. Its description in RNAcentral is "partial 16S ribosomal RNA". It matches the Rfam family "Bacterial small subunit ribosomal RNA", at positions 524 to 725 of the family's 1533-position model. The record is from RNAcentral.